GACGGGGGUAAGACGGGGUUGAAGGAGAGGACGGGACGGGGAAGAGGAAGGGGAGUCAGGAACACAAUAACGGAUGAAAUCAGAAUGACUGUGGUUGACCAUGUUGUCAACCAUGGAAUGAGCAUGAGGAAGGCUGUGCAACGGGUUCAACCAAAUCUGAGCCACUAUACUAUUGCAGGUAUCAUCUGGAUAUUUAGAAAUGAGAACCGAAAACUGGUGGAAGAGAUCGACUGUUCACCCCAGAGCAGGAGACCCACAUUGUCAAUAUGAUCAUUGCAAAUAACUGCAUCAGAGAACUGCAGGACCACAUAAUGGCAGAUAUCACCACAUUCCGAAACGUCAACAGAAGAGUCAUGGAGCUAGAAGCAGAUUCAGUGCAUCAUGAGCUAAUAUACGUGGACGAGGGAGGUUUCAACCUUGCAAAAACAAGGGGCCGCGGCAGAAAUAUCACCGGACACCGUGCCAUCAUCAACGUCCCGGGACAACGUGGUGGCAACAUAACAAUGUGUGACUAUUAGACAAAACGCCGUCCUUCACCAUCAUGCAAUCCUAGCACCAUACAACACUGCACACAUUAUCACAUUUCUGGACACCCUCCAUAACAGACUAAUUCCUGAUGACCAGGGGCCAGAGCAGCCCAGGUACGUUAUAAUUUGGGACAAUGUUAGUUUUCACCGGGCUGCUGUGGUCUGCAAUAUGCCCUGCACACAGAAAAAGCAGAAGCCACAAGUGUUUUUCAUUUAUACUAUCAGUGCGUAGUUGGUGCUUCGUGUGCUUAUUCAAAUGAUGGUUUGUGUGUACUGUACUGACGCAAAAACACAAUUUUUAGAAAAAGAGUUUGAAGAGUUUUGCAAGAACUGUUUGCUUUGCAAGAGAUGUAUAAUGUUUUGCUGUUUUGGUGUAAGGUAUUGUGGUUAGUGUGUAGAGUUUUGCAAAAAAUAGCCUAUAGUUUCAAAGAUGGUGCCUAAGCAAUUAGAAAAAACAGUAAUAAUUGCAAGCCUCACAUUCUUUGCAGAAACUCAAAUUCCUUGUCCUCUAGCCCCCUCUGGUGGGAUGUUUCCUCUAGAUAUAAAACGUGUCCUUGUAUUCUCUCUACCAGUUACACUAAUCAUUCCGGUCCCUCCUUUUAUCCGUCUCCCUGCUUCACCAGGUGGGUCCAGGGAGAGCACAAGUUCAGCCUUCCUGGCAGUGAAAUGUAUCGGAGCAUUCUUCCCCGUUGUGGACCUGGCCACUCUCGGGGGAUACUUGGAGUCCUGGAACUGGCCCCAUCCUGACCUUUUGACCUACUGUAUGACUAAUCACACUGACAUAUUCAAUGAGCGAUGGGUGCAUGAGACACUGAGGUAUUGCUCCAUGCUUAUAAUUCUGGAUCAAAUACACUAUGAAAACAAACAUGUUGACAUAAUGUGGUCACCCUGAUAUUGGGGAAUUCAUGACACCCUGUAAAAAUGACAUUUUAUUGUAUUCAUCUGUUUUGCUUGUCUCCAAUGUUCCCGUCUACUGUAUGCAAUAAAGAAUGACCAACCCUUCCCAUGAAUAGCGAUAUGUCACUGUGCCAAAGAUGUAACAAUACGAGAGUUGAGGGGAUGACACACCGUCCAUGUUGGGCUCACAUAGCAAGACAGUCAGACUGUACCACCAUUGUGUGUCUUUUGAUAAUAA
This is a long non-coding RNA of Oncorhynchus tshawytscha (Chinook salmon), 1662 nucleotides long. The record is from Ensembl. NCBI's taxonomy places the organism in Eukaryota, Metazoa, Chordata, Actinopteri, Salmoniformes, Salmonidae.